RNAcentral lists this non-coding RNA (30 nucleotides) under Mus musculus (house mouse). Lineage: Eukaryota; Metazoa; Chordata; Mammalia; Rodentia; Muridae. The record is from RNAcentral.
UGGUGUCUGUUCACAGCAGUAAAACCCUAA